CGCAACCGAGCUUCAGCCCGCUGCAUAGUCCGGGUGGGUGGACUCAGCAAACCUUUUCCAUCGACAACGAAGUUUGAAGGUGCCUUUCUCCUAUACAUCGAAGGAUGCAUUGCAUCCAUCAAAUGAAGACUUUCACCGCCUGUUUGAAAUGCAAAAGAGUCUCUGCACCACGCCUGUUGCAAGCUGAAUGGCUUCCCUUCAAGUCCUCCGCUGUGAAUCUCCAGCCGUACUGUAAAAACAAAGGCCAUAAUUAAGACACACGGCGGAGUAAACAAAACAAGAAAUGCCAAAGAUGUUCCACCCUUUUCCUCUGUAACUUGUUCAGAAUCAUGGUUCCUGUGAGCACCGAUGAUUUAUAGGAGAUGAGUUUGACGUCUUUACAUGACAGACGGGAGAGAAUGAGUGGACUCAACAUUGCCCGUGGAUACGUUUUUGAGCUGUGUACUUGGGA
Molecule: long non-coding RNA, 451 nt
Organism: Pogona vitticeps (central bearded dragon)
Lineage: Eukaryota; Metazoa; Chordata; Lepidosauria; Squamata; Agamidae
Source: RefSeq, a predicted model, not a curated record